This 68-nucleotide transfer RNA is filed under the name Marmota monax (woodchuck). RNAcentral's name for it is "tRNA.Ala". Lineage: Eukaryota; Metazoa; Chordata; Mammalia; Rodentia; Sciuridae. The record is from RNAcentral.
GGCUGUGGCUCAAGUGGUAGAGUGCUCGCCUAGCAUGAGUGAGGCACUGGGUUUGAUUCUCAGCACCA